RNAcentral lists this ribosomal RNA (508 nucleotides) under uncultured bacterium. RNAcentral describes it as "partial 16S ribosomal RNA". It matches the Rfam family "Bacterial small subunit ribosomal RNA", at positions 28 to 507 of the family's 1533-position model. The record is from RNAcentral.
GACGAACGCUGGCGGCGUGCCUAAUACAUGCAAGUCGAACGCUUCUUUCCUCCCGAGUGCUUGCACUCAAUUGGAAAGAGGAGUGGCGGACGGGUGAGUAACACGUGGGUAACCUACCCAUCAGAGGGGGAUAACACUUGGAAACAGGUGCUAAUACCGCAUAACAGUUUAUGCCGCAUGGCAUAAGAGUGAAAGGCGCUUUCGGGUGUCGCUGAUGGAUGGACCCGCGGUGCAUUAGCUAGUUGGUGAGGUAACGGCUCACCAAGGCCACGAUGCAUAGCCGAACUGAGAGGGUGAUCGGCCACACUGGGACUGAGACACGGCCCAGACUCCUACGGGAGGCAGCAGUAGGGAAUCUUCGGCAAUGGACGAAAGUCUGACCGAGCAACGCCGCGUGAGUGAAGAAGGUUUUCGGAUCGUAAAACUCUGUUGUUAGAGAAGAACAAGGACGUUAGUAACUGAACGUCCCCUGACGGUAUCUAACCAGAAAGCCACGGCUAACUACGUG